Molecule: ribosomal RNA, 253 nt
Filed under: uncultured bacterium
Lineage: Bacteria
Description: partial 16S ribosomal RNA
Rfam family: Bacterial small subunit ribosomal RNA
Source: RNAcentral
UACGGGGGGGGCAAGCGUUGUUCGGAAUUACUGGGCGUAAAGGGCGCGUAGGCGGCCUGGCAAGUGGAUGGUGAAAUCCCUCGGCUUAACCGAGGAACUGCCAUCCAGACUGCUUGGCUUGAGACCGGGAGAGGUGAGUGGAAUUCCCAGUGUAGCGGUGAAAUGCGUAGAUAUUGGGAGGAACACCAGUGGCGAAGGCGGCUCACUGGACCGGUACUGACGCUGAUGCGCGAAAGCGUGGGGAGCAAACGGG